Daphnia magna is the source of this 2503-nucleotide long non-coding RNA. RefSeq lists it as uncharacterized. The transcript is spliced from 9 exons. Lineage: Eukaryota; Metazoa; Arthropoda; Branchiopoda; Diplostraca; Daphniidae. The record is from RefSeq and is a predicted model, not a curated record.
CUGGAAGUGGCAUGUGCGACUUGAUGUGGCGUUGCAUGUGGGAGGCUCCGUUUGUAAUGUUCGCAGACUGGUCAAUUGAUGAUACGUGUGAACAGUGGUAGUGCUUGGGUGCCUCAAGAGGGAAUCGCAGAACAUAGCCAUAGAGCUAAAAGUCAUAGAAGAUUUUAAAACUGUUAUUUGAUUUUGUGUUGUUUCAGCAGUAGUAUGUCCUUCAACAAUCUGUUAUGUCCAAACAUGGAAUGAGUCGCAUGUGACUAAGUCAACCAAAUGUGGCAACAACAAUUAGUCAGCAAGGGAAUUAGUCAGUGAAAAACAACACAUUCAUUCCUGAGGAUGGUUUCGAGUUUAUCUAUGCUUAUUGCCAACUGGAAGGAUUCCUCUUUUUCACAUAACUUUACCAUUUUCAUGGUAUACUUAACUGCUUGUCAGCGGAUUGUCACUUGGCAUCAUUAGAAUGGUAUGGUCCAUAUCAGCAGUGUUAUGAUGCACUUCUUAAAUACACCAAUCCCUCAGAAAAUAUUCUAAUUGAAAUUGUGGAAAUUUCUGCCCUUCAUGCAGAACUGCACAAUGAUGGGUUCGUAUAAACAAGCUUGAAAUGACAAACCAACAGUAUUUUUGGUUUGGCUUACACAUGUUGACAUACUAUGACACGUUGAUGUUAGCUAAAUUGUUAUUAAUCAUAGGGGUAGGUAGUAUGAAAUGAAAUUUGGAUGUUUGUGUCUUUGUAUUUGUUUGAGAUGACUCUUGAUGCAGGAAGCUUUUCCUGCUUCUUACGAAAAGGGACAUUGGAUGCCUUAAUGUCUAAUACCAACCAAGUGUCAUUGCAAAGAUAGGUCAAAGAUAUAUUAAUAUAGAUUGCGCUCUGAGUGAUGGUGACAUGGUAUCUUACUGAUUUCUAUUGGUUUUAUUUGUGGAAAGAAUAUCCUGAGCGGGAGAAUUGGAUCACAAUUGACUAGAUGUUUUACUAUUUUAAAUGAGUUAAUCACAAAGAAUUUUUUAGUGAUUCAUGUUCUGUUUCUGUAAUGUAGGUAGAAUAAUCGCAAUGUCGGGGUUCUUAUUCGCGAGAGAUAUGCCAACUGUUUUCAAUUCGCAAUCGUAAUGGAUUUGAAGAGGAUAUUGAUGGAGUUUUGGUAUAAAAAAGUACAUGCUCGUUGGAAGGGCACCGAAGAGUUCCGGAUACUUUUACCAUCGCACAUGUUAUGGUAUUUUUACAAAAAUCAUUGAAGUACUUAUUUGGAACCCCUUGUUUUCUGUGGCCCCGUUUCCCCCUUGACUUAUAUUUUUUUCUUUAACCCUUUAGUGCGUGUAAAACUAAAGGCUAAAAGAAGAAGAAUGAUUCAAAAACUGUGGGAGAGAAUCAUCAAAGAAUUAUACUCGUUUAGGUAAUCCUUUCGGAUUCGAUUCCGCCGUUUAUGCUGCCCUUUUCUAUAAAGCACUUCUACAGAGUGACGACUCGUUGCGAGUGCAUGACAUCCAUAUCGAUAACGGUUUCCUGCGUAAAGACGAAUCCGAGCAAGUCGUCACUAGUUUACAGCAACUCGGGCUCAAUCUUCGGAGCUCUUUUCCAGACAGUGGCUUCUCAUUUCUAUUGUCAUACCAGCGAUCAGAUUUGAUGUUUCGAAUUGUUUUGGGUUGCUAAAGCAAGAUUGACUUUCUACGAUGCUUCCACCAACGUGCAUGGUCGCCAAACCUUGUUCGUUGUGUCGGACUGUAAAUCCGGAAGAUAAACGUCGAAUUAUUGGCGAUAUGUUUGUCAAAGUGAUAGAUAGAACGGCUAACGAUUUGAAUGUCACUUGGGAUAAUCUACUUCUCGGACAAGUUUCUUUGAGACCGGAUUUAAUUGGGGCCGCUUCGCAUAUGGCUUCUUCGCGCGCUGAUGCCAUAAAGACUCAUCAUAACGAUUCCGAAAUGGUUCGUCAGUUGAGCAUUUACGGUCGUGUAGUAGAACCUCUUAAAGGUAAUUGCGUUGUAGCAUUCCAGUAAGAUCUUUACUCUUUUCGCAAUUUUUCCCAACAGAUUUCAUUUCCAUAAAGAUGAAGUAAGGUCUUAGUUCGUGAGCUGGGUCUGUCCACAGUAUUAUUGGAAUGUCACCCGUUUCCUGGUCCUGGGGAUUGAUUGAUGAUACUUGUUGAUUAAUCCAUGAGGAAUGGAUAAGUGGAGGGUAAUGAAAGUUUACAAAUGUAAUUCCUCGUGGCAUUUUCAUUCACGCAUACAGGGCAGCUCGGGAGCAGACGAACCAUUGAAAGGGCCUUGCGUAGUCUAGCUGCAUCCAGCCAGAUACUAGUAGAACCCAAAACAUUGUUUUGACAAGUACUGUCAUAAUCUACUUCUCGGAUAAGGUAUCAAACUUCUCUUUUUUGUUGUUGCAUGUAUUAUAUUGCCUAAUAUCACUGCAUAGCUUUUAUUAACCAUAGUUUACUUUUACAACUAUCAAAAUCUUGAAAAAAUGAGGAAGUAGAAAAAUUAUAUAUAAUUUUUUUUUUUCGUGGCGAAACCGGUUGCC